GGGGAAUGGGAAUGCUAGGAGUGUUCACCUCGCUUGCACCGAGGAUACCAGUGGGGUUCGAAUCCCCAAUUCUCCA
This 76-nucleotide transfer RNA is filed under the name Pectobacterium phage My1. Its description in RNAcentral is "tRNA-OTHER". Lineage: Duplodnaviria; Heunggongvirae; Uroviricota; Caudoviricetes; Demerecviridae. The record is from RNAcentral.